Molecule: ribosomal RNA, 774 nt
Filed under: Acusta ravida
Lineage: Eukaryota; Metazoa; Mollusca; Gastropoda; Stylommatophora; Camaenidae
Description: partial large subunit ribosomal RNA
Rfam family: Archaeal large subunit ribosomal RNA (bases 348-498)
Source: RNAcentral
CGAAUUAGUUUGAGCUAAACAAUUUGGCUUUUUAGGGCAAUGAUGUGCGUUAUAUAGCACAAUUUCAAAAGGUGUUUAGGGGCGAUAGGCUUGUCAAAAAUUAAGAUAUCUUGAUACCAUAAAAAUGUAUUUAGUACUUAAAACAAAUAUAAAGUGUUUAGGCUUUAUAUGGUUACAAUAUUUAUUUUAGUUUAGUAAAGAUAUAACUAUCUAUUACUUGUGGAAAUUAUUAUUCAAAUUUAAAUUAUGUACCUAAUAAGUGGUUGUGUAUAAAAUUUGUAAUUACAUUAAUAAUGUUCACAUUAGUACAUCUAUAAGACCUAGAUAACGAACUCGGCAAAAUUUUCCUCAACUGUUUAUCAAAAACAUAACUAUAUGAGAUUCUAUAUAGCUAUUUCUGCUCAAUGUGUAAAUAAAUAGCCGCAGUACUUUGACUGUGCAAAGGUAGCAUAAUCAAUUGACUUAUAAUUGAAGUCUGGAAUGAAAGAAUCUAUGGGGAACCACUGUUUCAUUUAGGUAUAAGGAAAUUAUUUAGUAGGUGAAAAGACCUAUAACUAAAAAAUAGACGAGAAGACCCUAGAAAUUUUAAAUAGAAAGUUAAUACGUCUUUUUUGUUGGGGCGACAAAGUAGCAGGGAACCUACUUGAAGAAUAAGGAUUAAAUAUAAAGAUUAAAUAAAUUACUCUAGGGAUAACAGCAUAAUAUUUAAAAGUUUGUGACCUCGAUGUUGGACUAGGAAACUAUAGUUUAGAAGACUACUAUAAAGGCUCUGUU